This is a long non-coding RNA of Phacochoerus africanus (Common warthog), 560 nucleotides long. RefSeq lists it as uncharacterized. The transcript has 2 exons. The record is from RefSeq and is a predicted model, not a curated record. NCBI's taxonomy places the organism in Eukaryota, Metazoa, Chordata, Mammalia, Artiodactyla, Suidae.
GUGAGGGACACGCUUCGUCAGGCGUGCGCUUCCGGCCGGCGGGUUGCGCGGGGGUCGCCGGGAACGCCCAACCGGGCAGCGGACGACUUCCGGCAUCCAAGAUGCAGCCCCCACGAAGCAAUAAAGCAGAGAGAUCAGCUAAUAAAAUUUUGGAAGCUGGAUAUCAGAUCAUUAUUGACUUGAAAAGAUGGAAUAUCAGUUUCCUUCACUGUGGGAAGCCAAGAAGCAAGCCCCAUUAGUUCAGUGAGUCUGGAAGAGUCUGGUGAGUUACAGGUACCAGCCCACCUCUGAGAACAGGACAGUGGGUGGGGCUACCGACUGAAAAUGUGUAAGAAGUUGCCCCUUUCCAUCCCCUCCAUCACCGGGGUAUUCAGGUGAGCCCCUCACUUCCCUCAUGGCCGAAGACUAGGAGACUUUCAUCCCAGAGGACGGAGCCAAAAGGACUCUGGAGUUGAGAACAACACACAGCUGAGACUGGGAUGCAGUAAUAUGAGACUGAUGCCCUACCUACUGCACUAACUAGGCACCUGGGAUGUAGUAAUAAAGAUGAAAUUCUAGGA